UUCUUCCUUCAGUCGCCAGACCUCGAGCAGAGAGGAUGAGGACGCGGGGGAAGGGGAGGAGGCGGUUUUGCUCGUCGGAGGCUGCCUUCCCCUUCCGGUGAGCCCCCCUUUCAUUUUCUGGUUACCCCGUCCUCCCUCCUCCGUGGACGGCCCUCGCGGGGUCAGCGUCCUCGUGGCUGCUCAACCUCGAUGGCGACGACGCGGCGAGCGCAGGGCGCGGCCCUCGAAGCGCCUCCGGGAAAAUCUAGAACCCCCCUCCCCCCCGGAAGGUCGUCUCCGAGGUCGCGGCCGUCGGGCGUCCGUCUGCUCCGACCCGCAUUAUGGCGUCUUUUCCUCGUCGGCGGUGGAGGCUUCUUCUCUUCCCCGUCCGGAGAGAGGUCAGGUGGUUUCUGCAUUUGUGCUCGUCGGCGGCGAAGUUUGUCCGGUCCGCGGCAUCAGAGGCGGCCGCUUUCUCUUCAAUUUUCCUCAGAUCUGGUCGAUGGCGGGGUAUGCUCGCGUGCGUCUGGAGAGAGCUUUCUAGACGGCAUGCUAUGGGCUGGCUGGCUUUUGAAGUUGGUCCUCUAUGGAUCUGUUGAAUACUAUGUAGUAUCAUGGGCACUAACCAAAUGUCAUUUUUUGAGAAGGCUGGGAGGAGUGAUAUUGCAGUCAUCCAAGAAAACUGUUGGAGAAGCAUUUUUGUCCUAAGCUCCAGAAACUACCUGCAGUAGCGGCACAAACAUUGUCCGGGCUUAGGAGAGUUAAAAAGUAUGUUUUUCCUUGCCUUUUCUCUUCAUUUUCCUGUUGUUUUAUGUUCCUCAGAUCAAAGAAUCAAUAGGAGGGAUGGUGUGUAUCCAAAUCUGAAGGUUGACAAUCCACGGGUUCCUCAUAGCCUAGGUUGUUUUCCUUUAGUUUUUUUUUUGUCCUCUGUUUCUUCUCCUUCAAGCUGAACUUGAUCGACACCUACAACUCUCACGUCAUCCUUUCCAUAUCAGAAGCAUGGCCAUGAAACUCUCUUCUGCAGUUUUGGUAGUGCAAAAAGCUGUUGAUUUUCAGUUAUCAACCUGAAUAUCAAUCUGAAUACCAGUUUUGCACCACAUUCUCAAUCUGAAUCUCAUUCUCGCAUCUUUCCGCUUUGCCAUACCUUCUUCUACUCUUUUGCCCCUUUGUUUUGAGUUGGCUUAUUUAGUUAUUUUGUUCUCCACUCUAAGCUUAUUUUUCCUCAAGGAAGCAGAGCUUGUAGUUGUAAGCAUAUGAAUUGGUAUCUUUUGAUUAUUUUAACUUGCAUUUUUUUUCAUGUAUGGGCUGAGAGGAAAUAGCAAGGGGACAAGAUUGGGGUAUAUUAGAAAUUGGAAGAGUUGUUGCAGGCCGAAUUCUCAGUUAAGUUUUCGGUGUCUUACAAAUUUUCAGCAAAGCCACUUUAUCUGAUAUUUCAUAUUUUUUUUGGAAGACUAUCAUUUUGAAUGAAUGAUCUCUUUUCAGUAAAGAUAAAUUUCAUUACGUUGUGAGCUCUCUGAAAUUAUCUUUGCAUCUCAAAACAACUAGUAGAUAACUUGUAUUUUGGACGAGACAUACCUGGAUACUAAUAGCUAUUAGUUGUAACUACCUGGAUGGGGAACCAUGUGUAACAUUCUUUUCUUGUCAGAUUGUUCUACUGUUUUUUUGCCUUCACCUAGGCUCAGAAAAAGUUUGUAUAAACAAGGAGUAGUCUGUUACCAAUAGGGUUCACAGGAAUUGAAAAAUAACAAAUUUUGCCCAGAUCGCAGAGUUAUCUUUGUACACGCAAAUGGCCACACAAUCAUUUAAUCGGUCUUCUUCUUCUAGACAACAUAUUUAAGAACAACAAAGCUUGUAGUUUCAGUCAGGCAACUGAUUUUUUUGAUCGCUUUUAUCGCCGGUGGGUGUGGGUGGCGGAUGUGGCGAGGUGUUUGAUGCAGAAGUUGUUGUUUGUUUUCUCUUCCAAUCCAAUCCCCUGCGGCCUGGUCUGGUUGGUCUCCGGAUGAAGGUGUGACGGAUGGUAGAGAGUGUGGAAGAUGAAUCAAUCUCAGCAGUUCUCUGUUCGAGCUCUUUACCACCUUGAGAACUUUGGCGGGGUUCUUGAUCAAGCUGCCUCCACAGUCUGGAGUUGUUCGGCCCCAAACAAGAACAAGAUUUUUGCUUGGCUCUGGGUUAAAGGGAGGAUUAAAGUUAGAUCGAUGCUCCUUAAGCAACCCAUUCUUGUCUUCGAUGGUUGUCCCUUUGGAUGUAAUGUCAGUGAAACGACAACUCAUCUCGCAAUUCGCUGCCCCCGUUCGGCGCAAGUUUUUCAGAUGCUUGGUAUUGAUACUACUGGUGUUCAGAGGGUCGGUGAUCUCUUCACUUUGGGUAAGGAUCAUACCGCUCCCGAUAAAAGCGAAGCCUGGGAGGUGGUUGUGAUUACCAUCUUGUAGAAUACCUGGUUGGCUCGCAAUAGUAAAGUGUUUGAUGAUCGCGUUGUUCCGCCUUCCGUUGUGGUGAGGCAGUGCGUUGUGGCAAGCUGCUCUCAGAUGGAUUGAAGACUGGCUGGAUUAGCUAGUAUCUCUUAGUUUUAUUUCCUUCUUUGCUCUACUCUCUUUCUCUGCAUGUAUCCUUUUCUCUGUACAUUUCCAUCCUCUCAUGUUGUAACUUUGAACCUUCUGGUUCCCCUUUUAAUUAAUAUAUUAAAGUAGGGGCCUCCCCUCCCGAUUUCGCUAAAAAAAA
Molecule: long non-coding RNA, 2694 nt
Organism: Brachypodium distachyon (stiff brome)
Lineage: Eukaryota; Viridiplantae; Streptophyta; Magnoliopsida; Poales; Poaceae
Exons: 7
Source: RefSeq, a predicted model, not a curated record